This is a long non-coding RNA of Dermochelys coriacea (leatherback sea turtle), 8343 nucleotides long. RefSeq lists it as uncharacterized. Lineage: Eukaryota; Metazoa; Chordata; Testudines; Dermochelyidae. The transcript has 8 exons. The record is from RefSeq and is a predicted model, not a curated record.
AUCUUUGGAAUUGGCACCAUUUCAGCCAGAUGGGCAGUUUGACCUCCCUGUAACUAGGGGUUGAGUCUUCCAGGCCCUUUGGGGCUCUUGGCAUUGUGCUUUCUUCACAGCCUGAGGCGAGUGACCGCCCUGUAAUCAGGGAUCUGGUCUUUGCCCUCUAGUCUCUUGGCACUAGGUCAAGUGCAGCCCACUGAUCUGAAUGAGCACCCUGUAAACAGGGUACAGGUCUCAUCAGACACUAGUUCUGGUGCCCCCAUGAGACUGUGUCCAGAGUCCUGGCCCUUUGCACUGCGCUUUCAACUUGCCUGGAAUUGUGCAGCCAAGUCUCCUGCUUUCUGCUCCGCUUACUGUGCUCUUGGAGACCCGACCUCCUGCUGCUGUUGCAGACAGCUCCAAGCACAAGUGGACAAGAAGGAAGUGUCAGGAAUGUCAAGCAAAGAAGAGUACAAGAGGACAAGUCACUGAAGAUGGAGGAGAAGGAAAGGGACUCUGGGCGCAGUAACCUCCCUGUAUCAGGCCUCAGGUCGUGUAAUUACACUGUACGGGGAUCUCGAGCCUUUUACUACCUUGAGCAGCGUGACCGUCCUGUAAGCAGGGUCCAGGUCUGUGCUGUUUUGUCCUUUUGACAUUAUGCUCCGUUAGCUGGCUAGUGAGAGUGACUGCCCUGUAAUCAGGGUGCAAGUCACCUCCCCCUCGCUUUCGAAGGACAUUGAGCUCUUUGGUAACUUGAGCAAUGUGACCGCCCUGUAACUAGGGUCCGGGUCUUUGCCCAUUUGCUCAUUUGGCGCCUUGCUGUAGCCCUGAAGUCGGGAUGACAACCCUGUAAUCAGGGUGCAAGUCAUAUUCCUUUUGCUUCUUGGGGAUACUGAGCUCUUUAGAACCCUGAGCAGGGUGACUCACCUCCCUGUAAUUCAGAGUCAGGUCUCUGCCAUCUUGCUGUUUUGCCAUCAUGCCCUGCUGAGAGUCUACUCACUGUGACCACCUGUAUAUCAGGUGCAUGUCACAAGCUUCUGUAGUAUGGGAAAUACUGAGUCCUUUGAUACCUGAUGGGGCGUGACCACCCUGUAAUUCGGGGUCAGGUCUCUGCCCUUUUGCUCCCUGGCUUUAUGCACCUUUUUCUAUCUAAUCGGAAAGACCACACCGUAAUUUGGGUGCAGAUCAAAAGCCUCUCAUUUAUCAGGGAUUAGGGUUAUUUUAGGGCCCUGAGGAGCAUGACCGCCCUGUAAUCAGGAUUCAGGUCUCAAGUUGUCGUCUGUGAUUAUGCUCUUUAAUUCAGCUAGUCAGAGUGACCACCUUGUAAUCAGGGUGAGAGUCACCAUCCCCUCGCUUAUGGGAGCUACUGAUGUCUUUGUUACUUGAGCUGGGUGACCUCCCUGUAACUAGGGCUCAGGUCUCUGUCCUUUGCUCUUCUGGGUUUGCGUCUUGUUCUCAGCCUGGUCAGCAUGACUGCCCUGUAAUUAGGGUGGAGGUCAUGCGCCUCUUAUUUAGGGAGGACUAGGUUCCCCUUAAUGCGUUGGGCUGAGUGACCACCCUGUAAGUAGGGUUCAGGUCUCCCCCUUUUCUCUUACUUGUGAUGGAUUUUCCAUUAAUCGGCUAGCCCGAGGGACCGCCCUGUAAGAAGGGUUCAGGUCCUUUCCCCUGUGGCUCCUUUGGGUUGUUGGGCUAGUCACUUUGACCCCUCCCUGUAAUCAGGGUGCAGGUCUUGUCCCUUUUCCCUUUGUUUUUUUGCGGGGAGGAAGAUUGGUCGAGUUUAACACUGAGGGUCGAGUGACCGCUUUCGAUGAGCUCUCUUUCUGUUCUGGGAAGUCCCCCUUUGUUUUGUACGGAUGUGUUUGUGAGAGCACGUGAUAGAAGUGGGUGUGCAAGCUUUUUAAUUUUUAGUUAUUUAUUUUUCUUUUUUUAAGUUAAAUCGCUGCAGCGCUUUUUCUUUACUCUUCUCCGAAUCGGAAAAAGAGCUCAAAGGGUAUUAAUGUUUUUAUCCACCUCCUCCCCACAAAAGGGAAGAGUAAAAGCUCAGAUGUCAUCUUUGAGUGCCUUGGAUAGCGUGACCUCCCUGUAAACAGGGAUCUGGUCUCUCCUUUUAGGCUGAGUUCCAUUUAGGGGGUUGAUGACAAUGCCUGGCCUUUAAGGAGGCGGAUUUAGCUCAGGUGCCUGUGACUCACAGGAACUACAGCAUCCCUUAGUACUUGGGCAGCAUGGCCCCACCCUGUAUCGAGGGUUCAGGUCUCUGCGCUUCAUUCUUUUGCCACCAUGCUACUUCAGCCGGUUGGGUUUGAGUCCUGACCUUGUAAUUAAGGGAUUGUCUGUGUCCUUCUGCCUUCUGGGGGAUAUUGAGCUCUGUGGAACCCUGAGCAGUCUGACCGCCCAGUAAGUAGGGUCCAGGUCUUUGCCACUUGCUUAUUUGGCAUUAGGCCAUGCUCUGGUCAACUAGUCAGCGUGACAACCCUGUCAUUAGGGUGCAUGUCACAAAUAUCUAUCGAAUGGGACAUAUUGAGUUCUUUGGUACUUGGAGGAGCUUGACCUUCCUGUAAUUCAGGUUACGGUCUCUGCUGUUUGGCUAAUCCCUGUGACCACCCUGUAAUCAGGUUGCAUCUCUCUUUUGAAAUCUUUGGAAUUGGCACCAUUUCAGCCAGAUGGGCAGUUUGACCUCCCUGUAACUAGGGGUUGAGUCUUCCAGGCCCUUUGGGGCUCUUGGCAUUGUGCUUUCUUCACAGCCUGAGGCGAGUGACCGCCCUGUAAUCAGGGAUCUGGUCUUUGCCCUCUAGUCUCUUGGCACUAGGUCAAGUGCAGCCCACUGAUCUGAAUGAGCACCCUGUAAACAGGGUACAGGUCUCAUCAGACACUAGUUCUGGUGCCCCCAUGAGACUGUGUCCAGAGUCCUGGCCCUUUGCACUGCGCUUUCAACUUGCCUGGAAUUGUGCAGCCAAGUCUCCUGCUUUCUGCUCCGCUUACUGUGCUCUUGGAGACCCGACCUCCUGCUGCUGUUGCAGACAGCUCCAAGCACAAGUGGACAAGAAGGAAGUGUCAGGAAUGUCAAGCAAAGAAGAGUACAAGAGGACAAGUCACUGAAGAUGGAGGAGAAGGAAAGGGACUCUGGGCGCAGUAACCUCCCUGUAUCAGGCCUCAGGUCGUGUAAUUACACUGUACGGGGAUCUCGAGCCUUUUACUACCUUGAGCAGCGUGACCGUCCUGUAAGCAGGGUCCAGGUCUGUGCUGUUUUGUCCUUUUGACAUUAUGCUCCGUUAGCUGGCUAGUGAGAGUGACUGCCCUGUAAUCAGGGUGCAAGUCACCUCCCCCUCGCUUUCGAAGGACAUUGAGCUCUUUGGUAACUUGAGCAAUGUGACCGCCCUGUAACUAGGGUCCGGGUCUUUGCCCAUUUGCUCAUUUGGCGCCUUGCUGUAGCCCUGAAGUCGGGAUGACAACCCUGUAAUCAGGGUGCAAGUCAUAUUCCUUUUGCUUCUUGGGGAUACUGAGCUCUUUAGAACCCUGAGCAGGGUGACUCACCUCCCUGUAAUUCAGAGUCAGGUCUCUGCCAUCUUGCUGUUUUGCCAUCAUGCCCUGCUGAGAGUCUACUCACUGUGACCACCUGUAUAUCAGGUGCAUGUCACAAGCUUCUGUAGUAUGGGAAAUACUGAGUCCUUUGAUACCUGAUGGGGCGUGACCACCCUGUAAUUCGGGGUCAGGUCUCUGCCCUUUUGCUCCCUGGCUUUAUGCACCUUUUUCUAUCUAAUCGGAAAGACCACACCGUAAUUUGGGUGCAGAUCAAAAGCCUCUCAUUUAUCAGGGAUUAGGGUUAUUUUAGGGCCCUGAGGAGCAUGACCGCCCUGUAAUCAGGAUUCAGGUCUCAAGUUGUCAUCUGUGAUUAUGCUCUUUAAUUCAGCUAGUCAGAGUGACCACCUUGUAAUCAGGGUGAGAGUCACCAUCCCCUCGCUUAUGGGAGCUACUGAUGUCUUUGUUACUUGAGCUGGGUGACCUCCCUGUAACUAGGGUUCAGGUCUCUGUCCUUUGCUCUUCUGGGUUUGCGUCUUGUUCUCAGCCUGGUCAGCAUGACUGCCCUGUAAUUAGGGUGGAGGUCAUGCGCCUCUUAUUUAGGGAGGACUAGGUUCCCCUUAAUGCGUUGGGCUGAGUGACCACCCUGUAAGUAGGGUUCAGGUCUCCCCCUUUUCUCUUACUUGUGAUGGAUUUUCCAUUAAUCGGCUAGCCCGAGGGACCGCCCUGUAAGAAGGGUUCAGGUCCUUUCCCCUGUGGCUCCUUUGGGUUGUUGGGCUAGUCACUUUGACCCCUCCCUGUAAUCAGGGUGCAGGUCUUGUCCCUUUUCCCUUUGUUUUUUUGCGGGGAGGAAGAUUGGUCGAGUUUAACACUGAGGGUCGAGUGACCGCUUUCGAUGAGCUCUCUUUCUGUUCUGGGAAGUCCCCCUUUGUUUUGUACGGAUGUGUUUGUGAGAGCACGUGAUAGAAGUGGGUGUGCAAGCUUUUUAAUUUUUAGUUAUUUAUUUUUCUUUUUUUAAGUUAAAUCGCUGCAGCGCUUUUUCUUUACUCUUCUCCGAAUCGGAAAAAGAGCUCAAAGGGUAUUAAUGUUUUUAUCCUCCUCCUCCCCACAAAAGGGAAGAGUAAAAGCUCAGAUGUCAUCUUUGAGUGCCUUGGACAGCGUGACCUCCCUGUAAACAGGGAUCUGGUCUCUCCUUUUAGGCUGAGUUCCAUUUAGGGGGCUGAUGACAAUGCCUGGCCUUUAAGGCGGCGGAUUUAGCUCAGGUGCCUGUGACUCACAGGAACUACAGCAUCCCUUAGUACUUGGGCAGCAUGGCCCCACCCUGUAUCGAGGGUUCAGGUCUCUGCGCUUCAUUCUUUUGCCACCAUGCUACUUCAGCCGGUUGGGUUUGAGUCCUGACCUUGUAAUUAAGGGAUUGUCUGUGUCCUUCUGCCUUCUGGGGGAUAUUGAGCUCUGUGGAACCCUGAGCAGUCUGACCGCCCAGUAAGUAGGGUCCAGGUCUUUGCCACUUGCUUAUUUGGCAUUAGGCCAUGCUCUGGUCAACUAGUCAGCGUGACAACCCUGUCAUUAGGGUGCAUGUCACAAAUAUCUAUCGAAUGGGACAUAUUGAGUUCUUUGGUACUUGGAGGAGCUUGACCUUCCUGUAAUUCAGGUUACGGUCUCUGCUGUUUGGCUAAUCCCUGUGACCACCCUGUAAUCAGGUUGCAUCUCUCUUUUGAAAUCUUUGGAAUUGGCACCAUUUCAGCCAGAUGGGCAGUUUGACCUCCCUGUAACUAGGGGUUGAGUCUUCCAGGCCCUUUGGGGCUCUUGGCAUUGUGCUUUCUUCACAGCCUGAGGCGAGUGACCGCCCUGUAAUCAGGGAUCUGGUCUUUGCCCUCUAGUCUCUUGGCACUAGGUCAAGUGCAGCCCACUGAUCUGAAUGAGCACCCUGUAAACAGGGUACAGGUCUCAUCAGACACUAGUUCUGGUGCCCCCAUGAGACUGUGUCCAGAGUCCUGGCCCUUUGCACUGCGCUUUCAACUUGCCUGGAAUUGUGCAGCCAAGUCUCCUGCUUUCUGCUCCGCUUACUGUGCUCUUGGAGACCCGACCUCCUGCUGCUGUUGCAGACAGCUCCAAGCACAAGUGGACAAGAAGGAAGUGUCAGGAAUGUCAAGCAAAGAAGAGUACAAGAGGACAAGUCACUGAAGAUGGAGGAGAAGGAAAGGGACUCUGGGCGCAGUAACCUCCCUGUAUCAGGCCUCAGGUCGUGUAAUUACACUGUACGGGGAUCUCGAGCCUUUUACUACCUUGAGCAGCGUGACCGUCCUGUAAGCAGGGUCCAGGUCUGUGCUGUUUUGUCCUUUUGACAUUAUGCUCCGUUAGCUGGCUAGUGAGAGUGACUGCCCUGUAAUCAGGGUGCAAGUCACCUCCCCCUCGCUUUCGAAGGACAUUGAGCUCUUUGGUAACUUGAGCAAUGUGACCGCCCUGUAACUAGGGUCCGGGUCUUUGCCCAUUUGCUCAUUUGGCGCCUUGCUGUAGCCCUGAAGUCGGGAUGACAACCCUGUAAUCAGGGUGCAAGUCAUAUUCCUUUUGCUUCUUGGGGAUACUGAGCUCUUUAGAACCCUGAGCAGGGUGACUCACCUCCCUGUAAUUCAGAGUCAGGUCUCUGCCAUCUUGCUGUUUUGCCAUCAUGCCCUGCUGAGAGUCUACUCACUGUGACCACCUGUAUAUCAGGUGCAUGUCACAAGCUUCUGUAGUAUGGGAAAUACUGAGUCCUUUGAUACCUGAUGGGGCGUGACCACCCUGUAAUUCGGGGUCAGGUCUCUGCCCUUUUGCUCCCUGGCUUUAUGCACCUUUUUCUAUCUAAUCGGAAAGACCACACCGUAAUUUGGGUGCAGAUCAAAAGCCUCUCAUUUAUCAGGGAUUAGGGUUAUUUUAGGGCCCUGAGGAGCAUGACCGCCCUGUAAUCAGGAUUCAGGUCUCAAGUUGUCGUCUGUGAUUAUGCUCUUUAAUUCAGCUAGUCAGAGUGACCACCUUGUAAUCAGGGUGAGAGUCACCAUCCCCUCGCUUAUGGGAGCUACUGAUGUCUUUGUUACUUGAGCUGGGUGACCUCCCUGUAACUAGGGCUCAGGUCUCUGUCCUUUGCUCUUCUGGGUUUGCGUCUUGUUCUCAGCCUGGUCAGCAUGACUGCCCUGUAAUUAGGGUGGAGGUCAUGCGCCUCUUAUUUAGGGAGGACUAGGUUCCCCUUAAUGCGUUGGGCUGAGUGACCACCCUGUAAGUAGGGUUCAGGUCUCCCCCUUUUCUCUUACUUGUGAUGGAUUUUCCAUUAAUCGGCUAGCCCGAGGGACCGCCCUGUAAGAAGGGUUCAGGUCCUUUCCCCUGUGGCUCCUUUGGGUUGUUGGGCUAGUCACUUUGACCCCUCCCUGUAAUCAGGGUGCAGGUCUUGUCCCUUUUCCCUUUGUUUUUUUGCGGGGAGGAAGAUUGGUCGAGUUUAACACUGAGGGUCGAGUGACCGCUUUCGAUGAGCUCUCUUUCUGUUCUGGGAAGUCCCCCUUUGUUUUGUACGGAUGUGUUUGUGAGAGCACGUGAUAGAAGUGGGUGUGCAAGCUUUUUAAUUUUUAGUUAUUUAUUUUUCUUUUUUUAAGUUAAAUCGCUGCAGCGCUUUUUCUUUACUCUUCUCCGAAUCGGAAAAAGAGCUCAAAGGGUAUUAAUGUUUUUAUCCUCCUCCUCCCCACAAAAGGGAAGAGUAAAAGCUCAGAUGUCAUCUUUGAGUGCCUUGGACAGCGUGACCUCCCUGUAAACAGGGAUCUGGUCUCUCCUUUUAGGCUGAGUUCCAUUUAGGGGGCUGAUGACAAUGCCUGGCCUUUAAGGCGGCGGAUUUAGCUCAGGUGCCUGUGACUCACAGGAACUACAGCAUCCCUUAGUACUUGGGCAGCAUGGCCCCACCCUGUAUCGAGGGUUCAGGUCUCUGCGCUUCAUUCUUUUGCCACCAUGCUACUUCAGCCGGUUGGGUUUGAGUCCUGACCUUGUAAUUAAGGGAUUGUCUGUGUCCUUCUGCCUUCUGGGGGAUAUUGAGCUCUGUGGAACCCUGAGCAGUCUGACCGCCCAGUAAGUAGGGUCCAGGUCUUUGCCACUUGCUUAUUUGGCAUUAGGCCAUGCUCUGGUCAACUAGUCAGCGUGACAACCCUGUCAUUAGGGUGCAUGUCACAAAUAUCUAUCGAAUGGGACAUAUUGAGUUCUUUGGUACUUGGAGGAGCUUGACCUUCCUGUAAUUCAGGUUACGGUCUCUGCUCUUUGGCUAAUCCCUGUGACCACCCUGUAAUCAGGUUGCAUCUCUCUUUUGAAAUCUUUGGAAUUGGCACCAUUUCAGCCAGAUGGGCAGUUUGACCUCCCUGUAACUAGGGGUUGAGUCUUCCAGGCCCUUUGGGGCUCUUGGCAUUGUGCUUUCUUCACAGCCUGAGGCGAGUGACCGCCCUGUAAUCAGGGAUCUGGUCUUUGCCCUCUAGUCUCUUGGCACUAGGUCAAGUGCAGCCCACUGAUCUGAAUGAGCACCCUGUAAACAGGGUACAGGUCUCAUCAGACACUAGUUCUGGUGCCCCCAUGAGACUGUGUCCAGAGUCCUGGCCCUUUGCACUGCGCUUUCAACUUGCCUGGAAUUGUGCAGCCAAGUCUCCUGCUUUCUGCUCCGCUUACUGUGCUCUUGGAGACCCGACCUCCUGCUGCUGUUGCAGACAGCUCCAAGCACAAGUGGACAAGGAGGAAGUGUCAGGAAUGUCAAGCAAAGAAGAGUACAAGAGGACAAGUCACUGAAGAUGGAGGAGAAGGAAAGGGACUCUGGGCGCAGUAACCUCCCUGUAUCAGGUCGUGUAAUUACAC